RNAcentral lists this ribosomal RNA (561 nucleotides) under Triticum aestivum (bread wheat). Its description in RNAcentral is "partial small subunit ribosomal RNA". Lineage: Eukaryota; Viridiplantae; Streptophyta; Magnoliopsida; Poales; Poaceae. The record is from RNAcentral.
AUGAAUCUGUUAGCCUGGAACUGUCGAGGGUUGGGGUUGACCUCGACAGUUGGCGAACUACGGGACCUCAUUAGGUCAUACAACCCAGCGGUGGUGUUCCUUUGUGAAACAAAAAAGAAGGCGAGAGCGAUGGAGAAAAUAAAAUGGAGCCUUGGCUUUAAGUGUGGUGUGGCUGUGGACGGUGUGGGGGCAAGUGGUGGCCUGGCGUUAUGGUGGAGAGAUUAUGUGAAUGUCACGCUGAGGCCUUGGUGCCAAUAUUUCAUUGAUGCGGAGUUGACUGUUGAUGAUAAAACCUGUAGAUUCACUGGUUUCUACGAGGAGCCGAAGACAGAGCUACGCAAGAAGUCUUGGGAUGCUAUUCGGUUUUUACGUGCUCAAAACAAUCUUCCGUGGUUAUGUGUGGGAGACUUCAAUGAGGUGCUCUUUCAAUCGGAUCAGAUAGGUGGGAAUCCACGUAGCUUUACACAAAUGGAGGAUUUUCGUGAUUACCUAGAUGAAUGUGGGCUGGCGGACCUGGGCUUCUCAAGCUAUCAGUACACAUGGGAUAACAAGAGAGACUGA